RNAcentral lists this long non-coding RNA (3227 nucleotides) under Arachis ipaensis. Its description in RNAcentral is "long non-coding RNA (AIPA_LNC001317)". The record is from RNAcentral. Lineage: Eukaryota; Viridiplantae; Streptophyta; Magnoliopsida; Fabales; Fabaceae.
UAGCACACGCUAACUAUUGCUCUCAGAAAAAAUGCUUCUAAUUAGAGUUUAAUUUCACAGACCAUUAGAAAGUAUUAAGUCCUUGACCAUCAAUAGUGGUUGAUUUUGCAGAUUGAAAGCUUCAGAUGGAGGGACAACACAAGGAUGUGGAGGAGCAAGUUAAGGAUCGCUGAAGAUUCGAAUACUGAACCUAUCACCAAAUCGCCAAAUCAACCCUUUUUCAACAACCUUACGCCCUUUCAAUAUGUUACUCCAUCCCACGGUACUGCUCCGAUCUCUGCAUUCAUUAUAAAAUUGUAUCGAAAAUAUUUACCUUUGAAGAGUCUAGAUAAGAGUGAUUGUGGCUGAGAGACAACUUUCCAAUAUUAUUUUGUUAAUAGCGCCAAAUUUUGAUCCCCUUGGUCCUUAAAAACAAGUCCACCUUCUAAUUUCGGUAUUGUCAUAAUAUCUCAACUAACCCAUGCAAUUUUUCGCUCUGUACCUUUUUGACCCACCAAAAUUGGGAGAGUGUGUUAUGAAUCUCCCUAAUUAAAAUGUCAGAAAGACGGAAACGUGAUAAUGAAUAAAUUGGGAUAGCCUCCCCAACAACUUUGAUUAGAACAUGUCUGUCUGUAGAAGAGAGAAGUUUUCUUUUCCACCCUUGAACUCGCUUCCUCACCUUGUCCUUGAUUUCUUCGAAAGUGUUUUUUUUUUUUUUUGGACUGUAGAUGAAAGACCCAAAUACUUAUCCUGUGCACCAAUAUGGACAAUUUUCAAUUUCCGAGCCAGUAGUAAUCGAGCAGUAGAAGGAGUAUCAUUACUAAAGAAUAGAGCUUAUUUAUGCAAAUUAACUUUUUGGCCACUGAAUUCCUUGUAUGACUGAAGAAGACUAAGAAUAUUUUUACAACUAUUUUCUGACACUUUACAAAAAAGAAUUGAGUCAUCCGAAAACAAAAAAAUUAUUAACAGAAGGCCAUCUUCGGUUGAUUUGAAUACCUUCAACAGGAUCAUUUUACUCUGCCUUGUUUAGUAAAAAGGAUAAUUUUUCUGCACAGAAAAGAAAAAGAUAGGGAGAUAAAGGGUCUUCUUGACGGAUAGCUCUAUUUGGUUUUAAAAAAAUCUAAAGAUUGACCUUCAACAAUGAUAGAGUAAGAAACUGUAGUCACUACCUCCUGUAUCUAACCAAUCCACCUAGAUUCAAAUCCCAGUUUCUCUAAAAUGAACCAAAGGAAAUUCCACUCAACACAAUCAUAGAUUUUGCUCAUAUCUAAUUUAACAGCCAUUUCAGUCGAUAGGUCCAUUUUCUUUGUCUUUAGAUAGUGCAUACAUUCAUGAGCGACUAGGACAUUGUCUGAAAUCAAUUUACCCUUAAUAAAGGCACUCUGAUUAGGGCUGAUCAGCAAAUUCAUUAAUUUCUGUAGUCAAUGGACUAGUACUUUAGAAAUAAUCUUGUACACAACUGAAGAAAGGCUGAUGGAUCUAACCUGUGUCAUAUCCUUUGCAUCAAAAAUCUUAGGAAUGAGAUAGAUUUGUGUAUGGUUGAAGCUCUUGAAUAGUCUACCACUGACAAAGAAAUUGUGGACAGCCUUGAAAACAUCCUCCCCUACUAAACUUCAUAGAAUUGAAAGAAUUUAGCUGUAAAUCCAUCAUCACCAAAGGCGCGCUCUGGGGGUGACUACUAAAUACCGCACGUUUUAUCUUAUCAAAACUGACCGGUCUAAUUAAAUUUUUUGUUCAUAGUUGCUGAAACUUGGUUUCAAAAUCUUCGAAUGCAUGUGCCGGAUUAGCUUGGUCAAUCGAUGUGAAGAUAUCCUUGAAGUAUAUUUCAGCUACUUGUGCAAUUUCCUCACGGGUGGUAGCAUACAUACCACCAUUCUUUUCCAGUUUUCAAAUUUUAUUUUUCCGGAUUCUGGAUUGGAAUGAUUGGUAAAGAAAUUUAUAUUUCUGUCCCUUCUUUUAGCCACUUUACUCGAUAUUUUUUCCUCCAAUAGCUUUUCUCCGUAAAAUAAGCAUCCUCAAGUUUAUUUUUCAAGACUUCAAUUUGUUCUCCUCAUAUAAUGCCCUCCUCUCUGAGGAUUUCAAGCUGAGAUGUGAGUCCACCAAUGUCCUUUGAAUUAAAUUUGUUCCGUUGCUGCCAUUGAACAAUACGGUGCUUCAAUUGGGAGGCAAAACAAACAUUGUUAAGCGAUCCACCCAUUCCUUUCAAGCUUCGGUAAUAAUUACCUUAAUUUUUUCUAAAUCACACCAUCUCUCCUGAAAUUUAAACUUCUAUUUAGAUUUUUCUAUGACUGGAUUUGUAUCAAGGAGGAUAGAUACACGACCUAAACCAUUUUUUGCGAGCCGAGACAGCGAGGCUGACAGAAAAUAAUCCAUCCACUCACCGUUUGCAAGUGCACGGUUAAGCCGCUCCCUGAUCUGGUUCUGCCAUCGUCGCCUAUUAGUCUAGGUGAACCUUUUUCCAAUCAUACCCAAGUCUUUCAGUCCACCACCAUCAAUAAAAUUCACAAAUUCAUAAAUAGAUGAAGCUAAUUUUAAACCCCUCCUUCUCAUCGAGACUCACCAUAGCAUUAAAAUCACCCAUAAUUAUAACCUUUCCAAGGAAACAUUGUACAAUAGAGGAAAGUUUUGUGUAUUGGAUAGAUCGAAUCCCAUCCAAGCUAUUUAAAUGUACUCCAAUCAGCUCCCAUAAACAGUUCAAAGCAGGAUCAGUGAUGCCUGAGCAUCAUUCAUAUCUUUUCUAUAGAAUUUAUACAAUGAUUUGUUGAUUUCCUAAAAGAUUUAAGUGAUCUACACUCUAUUGGAUGCUACUUUGAGUUGUUGCAUUGUGUUGAUUACAGGUAGCAUUCGGGUGAAAGAUGGGACAAAAUUCUUGAAGAAGAAGUUUACCAACCCUUUUUGGCAAGGUGGUGAUAAACGCUGGUGAAGCUCUCACCCUUCUCUGCUAAGGUCACGCUAAACGCUACAUCAUCGAUGUUUAGCGCCGGGUCCUUGGAUUGUGUGCAUAACCUUGCGGGAUAGGUAGCCCUAAAUGCCACAUCACUGGCAUUUAGCGCCGACAGCGUGAAUUGAAGUGGUUCCCACGCACGCAACCAAAUCACACGAAGGAAAUCAAUUUGAAUUGAAUUCAAUUUGUAAAUAGAAAAAGAUAUUAUUAGGUUUAAGAUUUAAUUUUAGUAUCAAUUAGGAUUAGAACUAUAAAAAGGGAAAAGAUUCGCCCUGCGGGCUCUCUUCUUUCCUAGAAAUUUCGC